This 253-nucleotide ribosomal RNA is filed under the name uncultured bacterium. RNAcentral describes it as "partial 16S ribosomal RNA". It matches the Rfam family "Bacterial small subunit ribosomal RNA", at positions 524 to 776 of the family's 1533-position model. The record is from RNAcentral.
UACGUAGGGGGCAAGCGUUGUCCGGAAUUAUUGGGCGUAAAGAGCGCGUAGGCGGUCCGAUAAGUCGGCUGUGAAAGUCAAGGGCUCAACCCUUGGAAGCCGGCCGAUACUGUCGGACUAGAGUCCGGAAGAGGCGAGUGGAAUUCCCGGUGUAGCGGUGAAAUGCGCAGAUAUCGGGAGGAACACCAGUGGCGAAGGCGACUACCUGGCCUGUUCUUGACGCUGAGGCGCGAAAGCUAGGGGAGCAAACGGG